This 345-nucleotide ribosomal RNA is filed under the name uncultured bacterium. RNAcentral describes it as "bacterial SSU rRNA". It matches the Rfam family "Bacterial small subunit ribosomal RNA", at positions 28 to 334 of the family's 1533-position model. The record is from RNAcentral.
AAAACACUGACGAACGCUGGCGGCGUGCCUAACACAUGCAAGUCGAACGGACCGAUUUUCCGGAACCUUCGGGGGAAGGGAAAGAAGGUUAGUGGCGGACGGGUGAGUAACACGUGGGCAAUCUGCCCUUUAGACUGGGAUAACACCGGGAAACCGGUGCUAAUACCGGAUGAGAUCUUUUGGUGGCAUCACCGGAAGAUGAAAGGAGGCCUCUCGAAGAAGCUCCCGCUAAAGGAUGAGCCCGCGGCCCAUUAGCUGGUUGGUAGGGUAAUGGCCUACCAAGGCGACGAUGGGUAGCCGGCCUGAGAGGGUGAACGGCCACACUGGGACUGAGACACGGCCCAG